GACGAACGCUGGCGGCGUGCCUAAUACAUGCAAGUAGAACGCUGAAGGAGGAGCUUGCUUCUCUGGAUGAGUUGCGAACGGGUGAGUAACGCGUAGGUAACCUGCCUGGUAGCGGGGGAUAACUAUUGGAAACGAUAGCUAAUACCGCAUAAUAGUAGAUGUUGCAUGACAUUUGCUUAAAAGGUGCAAUUGCAUCACUACCAGAUGGACCUGCGUUGUAUUAGCUAGUUGGUGAGGUAACGGCUCACCAAGGCAACGAUACAUAGCCGACCUGAGAGGGUGAUCGGCCACACUGGGACUGAGACACGGCCCAGACUCCUACGGGAGGCAGCAGUAGGGAAUCUUCGGCAAUGGACGGAAGUCUGACCGAGCAACGCCGCGUGAGUGAAGAAGGUUUUCGGAUCGUAAAGCUCUGUUGUAAGAGAAGAACGAGUGUGAGAGUGGAAAGUUCACACUGUGACGGUAUCCUACCAGAAAGGGACGGCUAACUACGUG
Molecule: ribosomal RNA, 495 nt
Filed under: uncultured bacterium
Lineage: Bacteria
Description: partial 16S ribosomal RNA
Rfam family: Bacterial small subunit ribosomal RNA
Source: RNAcentral